This 497-nucleotide ribosomal RNA is filed under the name uncultured bacterium. Its description in RNAcentral is "partial 16S ribosomal RNA". It matches the Rfam family "Bacterial small subunit ribosomal RNA", at positions 28 to 507 of the family's 1533-position model. The record is from RNAcentral.
GACGAACGCUGGCGGCGUGCCUAAUACAUGCAAGUUGAGCGCUGAAGGUUGGUACUUGUACCAAUUGGAUGAGCAGCGAACGGGUGAGUAACGCGUGGGGAAUCUGCCUUUGAGCGGGGGACAACAUUUGGAAACGAAUGCUAAUACCGCAUAAAAACUUUAAACACAAGUUUUAAGUUUGAAAGAUGCAAUUGCAUCACUCAAAGAUGAUCCCGCGUUGUAUUAGCUAGUUGGUGAGGUAAAGGCUCACCAAGGCGAUGAUACAUAGCCGACCUGAGAGGGUGAUCGGCCACAUUGGGACUGAGACACGGCCCAAACUCCUACGGGAGGCAGCAGUAGGGAAUCUUCGGCAAUGGACGAAAGUCUGACCGAGCAACGCCGCGUGAGUGAAGAAGGUUUUCGGAUCGUAAAACUCGGUUGGUAGAGAAGAACGUUGGUGAGAGUGGAAAGCUCAUCAAGUGACGGUAACUACCCAGAAAGGGACGGCUAACUACGUG